CAGGUGGUCCGGGCGGCCGCGUCGGCCGAGGCGUCAGGCACUGACGGCUCGGUCGCCGAGGAAAGUCCGGGCUCCGCAGGGCAGGGUGGUUGCUAACGGCAACCCGGCGUAAGCCGCGGGACAGUGCCACAGAGAACAGACCGCCACCGCUGUGCGGUGGUGAGGGUGAAACGGUGGUGUAAGAGACCACCAGCGCCGCGGGUGACCGCGGCGGCUAGGUAAACCCCACCCGGAGCAAGGUCACGAGCAGCCGGCUGGUCCGGUUGUGCGCGAACGUUUGAGGGCGGCCCGCCCGAGUUCGCGGGUAGACCGCUGGAGCACGUCGGCAACGGCGUGCCGAGAUGGAUGGUCGCCGCUGGCUUCGGCCAGCACAGAACCCGGCUUACAGGGCCACCUGAUCC
RNAcentral lists this RNase P RNA (401 nucleotides) under Nakamurella aerolata. Its description in RNAcentral is "Bacterial RNase P class A". It matches the Rfam family "Bacterial RNase P class A". From Rfam's summary of the family: Ribonuclease P (RNase P) is a ubiquitous endoribonuclease, found in archaea, bacteria and eukarya as well as chloroplasts and mitochondria. The record is from Rfam by way of RNAcentral. Lineage: Bacteria; Bacillati; Actinomycetota; Actinomycetes; Nakamurellales; Nakamurellaceae.